AACUAACGCUGGCGGCGUGCCUAACACAUGCAAGUCGUACGAGAAAGCCGGCUUCGGCUGGUGAGUAAAGUGGCGCACGGGUGAGUAACGCGUGGAUAAUCUGCCCUUAAGUGUGGAAUAACGUACCGAAAGGUGCGCUAAUACCGCAUAAUGCCUGGCAACACAAGUUGUCCGGCCAAAGAAGGCCUCUGUUUACAAGCUUUCGCUUCAGGAUGAGUCCGCGUACCAUUAGCUUGUUGGUGGGGUAAUGGCCUACCAAGGCUGCGAUGGUUAGCUGGUCUGAGAGGAUGAUCAGCCACACUGGAACUGAGACACGGUCCAGACUCCUACGGGAGCAGCAGUAGGGAAUAUUGGACAAUGGGCGCAAGCCUGAUCCAGCCAUGCCGCGUGAGUGAAGAAGGCCCUCGGGUUGUAAAGCUCUUUUGUCCGGAAAGAAAGCGCCGGGUUAAUACCCCUGGUGUCCUGACGGUACCGGAAGAAUAAGCACCGGCUAACUCGUCG
Molecule: ribosomal RNA, 501 nt
Filed under: uncultured bacterium
Lineage: Bacteria
Description: bacterial SSU rRNA
Rfam family: Bacterial small subunit ribosomal RNA
Source: RNAcentral